CACGGACACGCUAUUGGGUGCUGUCAGGCAAACACCCYRAUGCGUUUCAUGUGCGUCCUGGGGGGAUCCGUGUGCUUCCAACGUUUGAGAUUAAGCCAGUGCCUGGGAAGAAAGGCAGAGACCCUGCCCCUGAGGGAUCCCAGGAGAGAGAAGUCUCAGCGAGUCCUCCUGAGCAGCAGCAGCACCGUCGAAAGAGGCGUUCUCCAGGCCGAUUAAAAGAGGCCAAGGCAGCAAAAGGGCAGCAAGGCAGGAGAAAGAAGCCUAUGGACAAGGAAGGUUUUGAUCAUCUGUUAUCUACCAUGGGGGCAUAUUUGCAGCCUGCCAAAGAGGAGGAGUUGGGAGAAGAGCAGGCUAAGGAGAGAGAGCAAAAAGGUAAAGUAAGAGAUGAAUGCUGACACAGGCUUGCRGGCUUCCUUAGUGCCGCAGGAUAACAGCCAAA
This 439-nucleotide long non-coding RNA is filed under the name Apteryx owenii (little spotted kiwi). RNAcentral's name for it is "lncRNA (ENSAOWG00000007003.1)". Lineage: Eukaryota; Metazoa; Chordata; Aves; Apterygiformes; Apterygidae. The record is from RNAcentral.